Molecule: small nuclear RNA, 106 nt
Organism: Arvicola amphibius (Eurasian water vole)
Lineage: Eukaryota; Metazoa; Chordata; Mammalia; Rodentia; Cricetidae
Source: RefSeq, a predicted model, not a curated record
GGUGCUCAAUUGGGCAGCACACACUGGAACUGGAACAGUACAGAGAGGAGUAGCAUGGGCUUUGUACAAGGAGGACAUGCAAAUGUGUGAAGUCGUCCAUGUUUUU